This 253-nucleotide ribosomal RNA is filed under the name uncultured bacterium. RNAcentral's name for it is "partial 16S ribosomal RNA". It matches the Rfam family "Bacterial small subunit ribosomal RNA", at positions 524 to 776 of the family's 1533-position model. The record is from RNAcentral.
UACGGGGGGAGCAAGCGUUGUUCGGAUUUACUGGGCGUAAAGGGCGCGUAGGCGGCGCAACAAGUCACUUGUGAAAUCUCCGGGCUUAACCCGGAGGGGUCAAGUGAUACUGUCGUGCUAGAGUGCGGAAGGGGCUACUGGAAUUCUCGGUGUAGCGGUGAAAUGCGUAGAUAUCGAGAGGAACACCUGCGGCGAAGGCGGGUAGCUGGGCCGACACUGACGCUGAUGCGCGAAAGCCAGGGGAGCGAACGGG